CACAUGCAUGGCUUAAUCUUUGAGACAAGCAUAUGACUACUGGCAGGAUCAACCAGGUAGCAUUCUUUCUCGACUUCGGACCCGCAUUGAUGCCACGGGCCUAGACGGCCAGCGGUCAAUGAGGUAGCGAGAGUCAUUCUUAUCGAGGGACUUGAUUGGAGCGACCGGAGGCCAAGACCCCCCACGUCCGCUUAAUUUUCCACAUCCGAGAGCACGAGCAGUUGUCCUGUGGACCGAGACAGCCACGACAAGAGUCAGAGGACACCUCCGGGACACGGGGACUGCUUUCGAGGUCCGCAUUGCAGCCGCAAAGCAACAAGGAGGACAGGUGCGGGGCUGUCCGACGAAUUUUUCCAUACGAUGGGGAAGGCAAC
This 374-nucleotide unclassified non-coding RNA is filed under the name Ficus oligodon. Its description in RNAcentral is "partial contains external transcribed spacer and 18S ribosomal RNA". Lineage: Eukaryota; Viridiplantae; Streptophyta; Magnoliopsida; Rosales; Moraceae. The record is from RNAcentral.